GGGGAAUAUUGCACAAUGGGCGAAAGCCUGAUGCAGCGACGCCGCGUGAGUGAUGAAGGUUUUCGGAUCGUAAAACUCGGUUGUAAGGGAAGAACCAGUACGUCAGGCAAUGGACGUACCUUGACGGUACCUUAUUAGAAAGCCACGGCUAACUACGUGCCAGCAGCCGCGGUAAUACGUAGGUGGCAAGCGUUGUCCGGAAUUAUUGGGCGUAAAGAGCUCGUAGGCGGUUAUUCGCGUCUGCUGUGAAAACUCGAGGCUCAACCUCGGGCUUGCAGUGGGUACGGGCUGACUAGAGUGCGGUAGGGGUGACUGGAAUUCCUGGUGUAGCGGUGGAAUGCGCAGAUAUCAGGAGGAACACCGAUGGCGAAGGCAGGUCACUGGGCCGCAACUGACGCUGAGGAGCGAAAGCAUGGGGAGCGAACA
Molecule: ribosomal RNA, 426 nt
Filed under: uncultured Cellulomonadaceae bacterium
Lineage: Bacteria; Bacillati; Actinomycetota; Actinomycetes; Micrococcales; Cellulomonadaceae
Description: bacterial SSU rRNA
Rfam family: Bacterial small subunit ribosomal RNA
Source: RNAcentral